This 253-nucleotide ribosomal RNA is filed under the name uncultured bacterium. RNAcentral describes it as "partial 16S ribosomal RNA". It matches the Rfam family "Bacterial small subunit ribosomal RNA", at positions 524 to 776 of the family's 1533-position model. The record is from RNAcentral.
UACGUAGGGGGCGAGCGUUGUCCGGAUUUACUGGGCGUAAAGGGCGUGCAGGCGGUGCGGUAAGUUUAGCGUGACAGUCUCCGGCUUAACUGGAGAAGGCCGCUGAAAACUGCUGGACUUGAGGGCCAGAGAGGGACAUAGAAUUCCGGGUGGAGUGGUGAAAUGCGUAGAUAUCCGGAGGAAUACCAAAGGCGAAGGCAGUGUCCUGGCUGGCAACUGACGCUGAGGCGCGAAAGCUAGGGGAGCGAACAGG